GACGAACCGUGCGAACGUUAUUCGGAUUCAUUGGGCUUAAAGAGCACGUAGGCGGCGAUAUAAGUUGGGGGUGAAAUACUGUCGGCUCAACCGCGGAAUUGCCUUCAAUACUGUAUUGCUUGAGGAGUUUAGGGGCGAGUGGAACUUCCGGUGGAGCGGUGAAAUGUGUUGAGAUCGGAAGGAACGCCAGUGGCGAAAGCGACUCGCUGGGGAUUUUCUGACGCUGAGGUGCGAAAGCCAGGGGAGCAAACGGG
Molecule: ribosomal RNA, 254 nt
Filed under: uncultured bacterium
Lineage: Bacteria
Description: partial 16S ribosomal RNA
Rfam family: Bacterial small subunit ribosomal RNA
Source: RNAcentral